Molecule: ribosomal RNA, 372 nt
Filed under: uncultured bacterium
Lineage: Bacteria
Description: bacterial SSU rRNA
Rfam family: Bacterial small subunit ribosomal RNA
Source: RNAcentral
GGAGGGGGCUAGCGUUGUUCGGAAUUACUGGGCGUAAAGCGUACGUAGGCGGUUUUGUAAGUUAGAGGUGAAAGCCCGGAGCUCAACUUCGGAAUUGCCUUUAAGACUGCAUCACUUGAACGUCGGAGAGGUGAGUGGAAUUCCGAGUGUAGAGGUGAAAUUCGUAGAUAUUCGGAAGAACACCAGUGGCGAAGGCGGCUCACUGGACGACUGUUGACGCUGAGGUACGAAAGCGUGGGGAGCAAACAGGAUUAGAUACCCUGGUAGUCCACGCCGUAAACGAUGAUAACUAGCUGUCCGGGCACUUGGUGCUUGGGUGGCGCAGCUAACGCAUUAAGUUAUCCGCCUGGGGAGUACGGCCGCAAGGUUAAA